This 429-nucleotide ribosomal RNA is filed under the name Bacillota bacterium. RNAcentral's name for it is "Firmicutes bacterium partial 16S ribosomal RNA". It matches the Rfam family "Bacterial small subunit ribosomal RNA", at positions 355 to 776 of the family's 1533-position model. The record is from RNAcentral. RNAcentral also lists the same sequence under 4 other names. Lineage: Bacteria; Bacillati; Bacillota.
UGGGGAAUAUUGGACAAUGGGCGCAAGCCUGAUCCAGCCAUACCGCGUGGGUGAAGAAGGCCUUCGGGUUGUAAAGCCCUUUUGUUGGGAAAGAAAUCCAGCUGGCUAAUACCCGGUUGGGAUGACGGUACCCAAAGAAUAAGCACCGGCUAACUUCGUGCCAGCAGCCGCGGUAAUACGAAGGGUGCAAGCGUUACUCGGAAUUACUGGGCGUAAAGCGUGCGUAGGUGGUCGUUUAAGUCCGUUGUGAAAGCCCUGGGCUCAACCUGGGAACUGCAGUGGAUACUGGGCGACUAGAAUGUGGUAGAGGGUAGCGGAAUUCCUGGUGUAGCAGUGAAAUGCGUAGAGAUCAGGAGGAACAUCCAUGGCGAAGGCAGCUACCUGGACCAACAUUGACACUGAGGCACGAAAGCGUGGGGAGCAAACAGG